GACGAACGCUGGCGGCGUGCUUAACACAUGCAAGUCGAACGGAAAGGCCCUGCUUUUGUGGGGUGCUCGAGUGGCGAACGGGUGAGUAACACGUGAGUAACCUGCCCUUGACUUUGGGAUAACUUCAGGAAACUGGGGCUAAUACCGGAUAGGAGCUCCUGCUGCAUGGUGGGGGUUGGAAAGUUUCGGCGGUUGGGGAUGGACUCGCGGCUUAUCAGCUUGUUGGUGGGGUAGUGGCUUACCAAGGCUUUGACGGGUAGCCGGCCUGAGAGGGUGACCGGCCACAUUGGGACUGAGAGACGGCCCAGACUCCUACGGGAGGCAGCAGUGGGGAAUAUUGAACAAUGGGCGGAAGCCUGAUGCAGCAACGCCGCGUGCGGGAUGACGGCCUUCGGGUUGUAAACCGCUUUCGCCUGUGACGAAGCGUGAGUGACGGUAAUGGGUAAAGAAGCACCGGCUAACUACGUG
RNAcentral lists this ribosomal RNA (468 nucleotides) under uncultured bacterium. RNAcentral's name for it is "partial 16S ribosomal RNA". It matches the Rfam family "Bacterial small subunit ribosomal RNA", at positions 28 to 507 of the family's 1533-position model. The record is from RNAcentral.